This is a non-coding RNA of Acanthosepion pharaonis, 112 nucleotides long. Lineage: Eukaryota; Metazoa; Mollusca; Cephalopoda; Sepiida; Sepiidae. The record is from the annotation of a GenBank genome assembly.
UACAGUCAUAUCUGGUUGAAACGCCUGUUCCAGUACGAUCAUCGAAGUUAAGCAACGUCGAGCCUGGUCAGUGACUAGAUGAGUGACCGCUUGUGAAUAUCAGAUGCUGAAA